GACAGAGGGUGCGAACGUUGUUCGGAAUUACUGGGCGUAAAGGGCGCGUAGGCGGCACGGCAAGUCAGGAGUGAAAGGCCUGGGCUCAACCGAGGAACUGCUUUUGAGACUGCCGAGCUAGAGUGCGGUAGGGGAGAUCGGAAUUCCUGGUGUAGCGGUGAAAUGCGCAGAUAUCAGGAGGAACACCGGUGGCGAAGGCGGAUCUCUGGGCCGUAACUGACGCUGAGGAGCGAAAGCAUGGGGAGCGAACAGG
RNAcentral lists this ribosomal RNA (253 nucleotides) under uncultured bacterium. RNAcentral describes it as "partial 16S ribosomal RNA". It matches the Rfam family "Bacterial small subunit ribosomal RNA", at positions 524 to 776 of the family's 1533-position model. The record is from RNAcentral.